This 253-nucleotide ribosomal RNA is filed under the name uncultured bacterium. RNAcentral's name for it is "partial 16S ribosomal RNA". It matches the Rfam family "Bacterial small subunit ribosomal RNA", at positions 524 to 776 of the family's 1533-position model. The record is from RNAcentral.
UACGUAGGGGGCAAGCGUUGUCCGGAUUUAUUGGGCGUAAAGAGCGUGUAGGCGGCCAGGUAGGUCCGUUGUGAAAACUGGAGGCUUAACCUCCAGCUGUCGAUGGAAACCAUCUGGCUAGAGUCCGGAAAAGGAGAGUGGAAUUCCUGGUGUAGCGGUGAAAUGCGCAGAUAUCAGGAAGAACACCCGUGGCGAAGGCGGCUCUCUGGGACGGUACUGACGCUGAGACGCGAAAGCGUGGGGAGCGAACAGG